This 521-nucleotide long non-coding RNA is filed under the name Gigantopelta aegis. RNAcentral's name for it is "uncharacterized LOC121387327, transcript variant X2". The record is from RNAcentral. Lineage: Eukaryota; Metazoa; Mollusca; Gastropoda; Neomphalida; Peltospiridae.
UGGAAAAGGCAUUUAAAUUUAUUUUAAAACUGUUUUCUGAAGAUAUGUUGGUGGACACACACCACCAUGUUCUAUAGCACCUGGUAGAGUGUCUCUUUGGACACCGCCUUGUAGUGGAAGAAUUGGAACUACUCGUGGAACUCCGGUACACAUGGAUACGUAGCAUGGAUAUGUGUUGGAUGUGGCCUACUGUUACAGAUUGAAAUAACAACACUGUAACAUAUAUUCCUUCUGGCCUGUGUUGGAUGUGGCCUACUGUUACAGAUUGAAAUAGCAACACUGUAACAUAUAUUCCCUCUGGCCUGUGUUGGAUGUGGCCUACAGGUGUACAGCACUCUCUUGGGCAGGCAUGGAUCCAGACCCCCCACGCACACACACACACCUCCUCAGGACAACAACUAUAUUUUUUAUUUAUGCAUUUUAAUAUUUAGAUGAAACAGCACAAAUUAUUGGGAGCAUUUUAAAAUUUAAAGUAAUUUAACAAAAAUAAUUGUGUACCAGUAAACGCGGGCACUUUUCAA